GACGAACGCUGGCGGCGUGCUUAACACAUGCAAGUCGAACGGAAAGGCCCUUCGGGGUACUCGAGUGGCGAACGGGUGAGUAACACGUGGGUGAUCUGCCCUGCACUUUGGGAUAAGCCUGGGAAACUGGGUCUAAUACCGAAUAGGACCACGCGCUUCAUGGUGUGUGGUGGAAAGCUUUUGCGGUGUGGGAUGGGCCCGCGGCCUAUCAGCUUGUUGGUGGGGUAAUGGCCUACCAAGGCGACGACGGGUAGCCGGCCUGAGAGGGUGACCGGCCACACUGGGACUGAGAUACGGCCCAGACUCAUACGGGAGGCAGCAGUGGGGAAUAUUGCACAAUGGGCGCAAGCCUGAUGCAGCGACGCCGCGUGAGGGAUGACGGCCUUCGGGUUGUAAACCUCUUUCAAUAGGGACGAAGCGCAAGUGACGGUACCUAUAGAAGAAGCACCGGCCAACUACGUG
RNAcentral lists this ribosomal RNA (462 nucleotides) under uncultured bacterium. Its description in RNAcentral is "partial 16S ribosomal RNA". It matches the Rfam family "Bacterial small subunit ribosomal RNA", at positions 28 to 507 of the family's 1533-position model. The record is from RNAcentral.